UACGUAGGGCGCGAGCGUUGUCCGGAAUUAUUGGGCGUAAAGAGCUCGUAGGCGGCCUGUCGCGUCCGCUGUGAAAUCCCGGGGCUUAACCCCGGGCCUGCAGUGGAUACGGGCAGGCUGGAGGCAGGCAGGGGAGAACGGAAUUCCCGGUGUAGCGGUGAAAUGCGCAGAUAUCGGGAGGAACACCCAUGGCGAAGGCAGCAAGCUGGGCGACACCUGACGCUGAGGCGCGAAAGCGUGGGUAGCAAACAGG
RNAcentral lists this ribosomal RNA (253 nucleotides) under uncultured bacterium. RNAcentral's name for it is "partial 16S ribosomal RNA". It matches the Rfam family "Bacterial small subunit ribosomal RNA", at positions 524 to 776 of the family's 1533-position model. The record is from RNAcentral.